RNAcentral lists this long non-coding RNA (741 nucleotides) under Lepeophtheirus salmonis (salmon louse). Its description in RNAcentral is "uncharacterized LOC121124738". The record is from RNAcentral. Lineage: Eukaryota; Metazoa; Arthropoda; Copepoda; Siphonostomatoida; Caligidae.
UUGCUCUAGUUAAGGUAAUAAUAAUUCCCAAGAAUAAUUAUAAAAUAAUCAUUCCAUAGAAGAAAAGAAGAAAUUUAUAACUACCAACUGAUUUUGUGUCAUCUUUCCGUUUCUUUUUGGUUGCGAUAUACAAAAAAAAGUAACGACAUGAAGAAUUGACUCACGCCAACCAACAAAUUUUAUGCCUUUUCUUCUUGUUUGAAAGAUUGUAAAGUACAAUAAAGGAAAGCUCUAUCCAGCUGCUUCAUACCCAUUACUUUGUGUAAUCAUAAAUAUUACCUAGUUUGUUAUAAAGAAUAAAUGUUUAUCGUUUUCAACCCAUCAACAUGUGGUCAUUAGAUUAACUUUACAGGGUCAAGAAAUGGUUGCAGAAUUCAAUUAAUGACAGAUCGAUCAUCAGAACAUCAAAAAUAGUCAUUUUAAUGAGGACUAUAAAUGCCCUUGAGACGACACCAUCGUGGGAGCUUUACAAACACACACCUACAAACUACUCAAUAUAUAUCUAGUAAAAGUGUUUUCGUGAGUCAAAAUAUACAAGCAUAAUAUAUUGAGGAAAAUCAUUCAAUAACUUGAUAAUCCUGCAAGAGAUAUGAAAACUGGUAAAACCACUUUUUGACGAGCAUUAGGAAAUCCCAAGUUACACGACCCAAAUACCAAUGCCAUAAGUGUCAAUAGGAUGAGAUGAGCAAGGCCAUAGUGGAGAAGACCUUAAAGAUCCGAUUGAAAGGCAUCGAUAAAAGA